AACGAACGCUGGCGGCAUGCCUAACACAUGCAAGUCGAACGAGACCUUCGGGUCUAGUGGCGCACGGGUGCGUAACGCGUGGGAACCUGCCCUUAGGUUCGGAAUAACUCCCCGAAAGGGGUGCUAAUACCGGAUAAUGUCUUCGGACCAAAGAUUUAUCGCCUUUGGAUGGGCCCGCGUUGGAUUAGCUAGUUGGUAGGGUAAAAGCCUACCAAGGCGACGAUCCAUAGCUGGUCUGAGAGGAUGAUCCGCCACACUGGGACUGAGACACGGCCCAGACUCCUACGGGAGGCAGCAGUGGGGAAUAGUGGACAAUGGGCGAAAGCCUGAUCCAUCAAUGCCGCGUGAGUGAUGAAGGCCUUAGGGUUGUAAAGCUCUUUUACCCGGGAUGAUAAUGACAGUACCGGGAGAAUAAGCUCCGGCUAACUACGUG
This 433-nucleotide ribosomal RNA is filed under the name uncultured bacterium. RNAcentral describes it as "partial 16S ribosomal RNA". It matches the Rfam family "Bacterial small subunit ribosomal RNA", at positions 29 to 507 of the family's 1533-position model. The record is from RNAcentral.